Molecule: ribosomal RNA, 231 nt
Filed under: uncultured bacterium
Lineage: Bacteria
Description: partial 16S ribosomal RNA
Rfam family: Bacterial small subunit ribosomal RNA
Source: RNAcentral
AACCCACCGUAUGCAGGGGGACAACAGUCAGAAAUGACUGCUAAUACCGCAUAAGCACACAAUGCUGCAUGGCAUGGUGUGAAAAGAUUUAUCGGCAUACGAUGGCCCCGCGUCUGAUUAGCCAGUUGGCAGGGUAAUGGCCUACCAAAGCAACGAUCAGUAGCCGGCUUGAGAGAGUGACCGGCCACAUUGGGACUGAGACACGGCCCAGACUCCUACGGGAGGCAGCAG